RNAcentral lists this ribosomal RNA (465 nucleotides) under uncultured bacterium. RNAcentral's name for it is "partial 16S ribosomal RNA". It matches the Rfam family "Bacterial small subunit ribosomal RNA", at positions 338 to 795 of the family's 1533-position model. The record is from RNAcentral.
CCUACGGGAGGCUGCAGUAGGGAAUCUUCCACAAUGGGCGAAAGCCUGAUGGAGCAAAGCCGCGUGGGGGAAGAAGGUCUUCGGAGCGUAAAACCCUGUUGUUAGAGAAGAAAGUGCGUGAGAGUAACUGUUCACGUUUCGACGGUAUCUAACCAGAAAGCCACGGCUAACUACGUGCCAGCAGCCGCGGUAAUACGUAGGUGGCAAGCGUUAUCCGGAUUUAUUGGGCGUAAAGGGAACGCAGGGGGUCUUUUAAGUCUGAUGUGAAAGCUUUCGGCUUAACCGGAGUAGUGCAUUGGAAACUGGGAGACUUGAGUGCAGAAGAGGAGAGUGGAACUCCAUGUGUAGCGGUGAAAUGCGUAGAUAUAUGGAAGAACACCAGUGGCGAAGGCGGCUCUCUGGUCUGUAACUGACGCUGAGGUUCGAAAGCGUGGGUAGCAAACAGGAUUAGAUACCCCAGUAGUC